UCCAGUGACCAUAGUAGAAAUAAAAAACCCGUUCCCAUUCCGAUCACGGUAGUUAAGGUUUCUGCGCCGAUGGUACUGUCUAACGACGGGAGAGUAGGUAUUGCUGGGG
Molecule: ribosomal RNA, 109 nt
Filed under: uncultured bacterium OMZ60_11L23
Lineage: Bacteria
Source: RNAcentral